Molecule: ribosomal RNA, 323 nt
Filed under: uncultured bacterium
Lineage: Bacteria
Description: bacterial SSU rRNA
Rfam family: Bacterial small subunit ribosomal RNA
Source: RNAcentral
GAUGAACGCUGGCGGCGUGCUUAACACAUGCAAGUCGAACGGAACUCAUUGGAACAAGACUUCGGUCAAGGGAAUUUGAGUUUAGUGGCGGACGGGUGAGUAACGCGUGAGGAACCUGCCUCGGAGUGGGGAAUAACAGUUAGAAAUGACUGCUAAUACCGCAUGAUGCAUUUGGGUCGCAUGAUCCGGAUGCCAAAGAUUUAUCGCUCUGAGAUGGCCUCGCGUCUGAUUAGCUUGUUGGCGGGGUAACGGCCCACCAAGGCGACGAUCAGUAGCCGGACUGAGAGGUUGGCCGGCCACAUUGGGACUGAGACACGGCCCAG